This 692-nucleotide ribosomal RNA is filed under the name uncultured Pseudomonas sp. RNAcentral describes it as "bacterial SSU rRNA". It matches the Rfam family "Bacterial small subunit ribosomal RNA", at positions 74 to 762 of the family's 1533-position model. The record is from RNAcentral. Lineage: Bacteria; Pseudomonadati; Pseudomonadota; Gammaproteobacteria; Pseudomonadales; Pseudomonadaceae.
AGAAGCUUGCUUCUCUUGAGAGCGGCGGACGGGUGAGUAAAGCCUAGGAAUCUGCCUGGUAGUGGGGGAUAACGUUCGGAAACGGACGCUAAUACCGCAUACGUCCUACGGGAGAAAGCAGGGGACCUUCGGGCCUUGCGCUAUCAGAUGAGCCUAGGUCGGAUUAGCUAGUUGGUGAGGUAAUGGCUCACCAAGGCGACGAUCCGUAACUGGUCUGAGAGGAUGAUCAGUCACACUGGAACUGAGACACGGUCCAGACUCCUACGGGAGGCAGCAGUGGGGAAUAUUGGACAAUAGGCGAAAGCCUGAUCCAGCCAUGCCGCGUGUGUGAAGAAGGUCUUCGGAUUGUAAAGCACUUUAAGUUGGGAGGAAGGGCAUUAACCUAAUACGUUAGUGUUUUGACGUUACCGACAGAAUAAGCACCGGCUAACUCUGUGCCAGCAGCCGCGGUAAUACAGAGGGUGCAAGCGUUAAUCGGAAUUACUGGGCGUAAAGCGCGCGUAGGUGGUUUGUUAAGUUGGAUGUGAAAUCCCCGGGCUCAACCUGGGAACUGCAUUCAAAACUGACUGACUAGAGUAUGGUAGAGGGUGGUGGAAUUUCCUGUGUAGCGGUGAAAUGCGUAGAUAUAGGAAGGAACACCAGUGGCGAAGGCGACCACCUGGACUAAUACUGACACUGAGGUGCGAAAGCGU